UACAGAGGGUGCAAGCGUUAAUCGGAAUUACUGGGCGUAAAGCGCGCGUAGGUGGUUCGUUAAGUUGGAUGUGAAAUCCCCCGGGCUCAACCUGGGAACUGCAUUCAAAAACUGACGAGCUAGAGUAUGGUAGAGGGUGGUGGAAUUUCCUGUGUAGCGGUGAAAUGCGUAGAUAUAGGAAGGAACACCAGUGGCGAAGGCGACCACCUGGACUGAUACUGACACUGAGGUGCGAAAGCGUGGGGAGCAAACAGG
RNAcentral lists this ribosomal RNA (255 nucleotides) under uncultured bacterium. Its description in RNAcentral is "partial 16S ribosomal RNA". It matches the Rfam family "Bacterial small subunit ribosomal RNA", at positions 524 to 776 of the family's 1533-position model. The record is from RNAcentral.